This 459-nucleotide ribosomal RNA is filed under the name uncultured bacterium. RNAcentral describes it as "bacterial SSU rRNA". It matches the Rfam family "Bacterial small subunit ribosomal RNA", at positions 338 to 809 of the family's 1533-position model. The record is from RNAcentral.
CCUACGGGAGGCAGCAGUGGGGAAUAUUGCACAAUGGGCGGAAGCCUGAUGCAGCAACGCCGCGUGAGGGAUGACGGCCUUCGGGUUGUAAACCUCUUUUAGCAGGGAAGAAGCGAAAGUGACGGUACCUGCAGAAAAAGCACCGGCUAACUACGUGCCAGCAGCCGCGGUAAUACGUAGGGCGCAAGCGUUAUCCGGAAUUAUUGGGCGUAAAGAGCUCGUAGGCGGUUUGUCGCGUCUGCUGUGAAAUCCCGAGGCUCAACCUCGGGCCUGCAGUGGGUACGGGCAGACUAGAGUGCGGUAGGGGAGAUUGGAAUUCCUGGUGUAGCGGUGGAAUGCGCAGAUAUCAGGAGGAACACCGAUGGCGAAGGCAGAUCUCUGGGCCGUAACUGACGCUGAGGAGCGAAAGCGUGGGGAGCAAACAGGAUUAGAUACCCUGGUAGUCCACCCCGUAAAUCG